This 695-nucleotide ribosomal RNA is filed under the name Micrococcus luteus. RNAcentral's name for it is "bacterial SSU rRNA". It matches the Rfam family "Bacterial small subunit ribosomal RNA", at positions 36 to 744 of the family's 1533-position model. The record is from RNAcentral. Lineage: Bacteria; Bacillati; Actinomycetota; Actinomycetes; Micrococcales; Micrococcaceae.
CUGGCGGCGUGCUUAACACAUGCAAGUCGAACGAUGAAGCCCAGCCUGCUGGGUGGAUUAGUGGCGAACGGGUGAGUAACACGUGAGUAACCUGCCCUUAACUCUNGGAUAAGCCUGGGAAACUNGGUCUAAUACCGGAUAGGAGCGUCCACCGCAUGGUGGGUGUUGGAAAGAUUNAUCGGUUUUGGAUGGACUCGCGGCCUAUCAGCUUGUUGGUGAGGUAAUGGCUCACCAAGGCGACGACGGGUAGCCGGCCUGAGAGGGUGACCGGCCACACUGGGACUGAGACACGGCCCAGACUCGUACGGGAGGCAGCAGUGGGGAAUAUUGCACAAUGGGCGAAAGCCUGAUGCAGCGACGCCGCGUGAGGGAUGACGGCUUUCGGGUUGUAAACCUCUUUCAGUAGGGAAGAAGCGAAAGUGACGGUACCUGCAGAAGAAGCACCGGCUAACUACGUGCCAGCAGCCGCGGUAAUACGUAGGGUGCGAGCGUUAUCCGGAAUUAUUGGGCGUAAAGAGCUCGUAGGCGGUUUGUCGCGUCUGUCGUGAAAGUCCCGGGCUUAACCCCGGAUCUGCGGUGGGUACGGGCAGACUAGAGUGCAGUAGGGGAGACUGGAAUUCCUGGUGUAGCGGUGGAAUGCGCAGAUAUCAGGAGGAACACCGAUGGCGAAGGCAGGUNUCCUGGGCUGUAACGAC